UUUUUUUUUUUUUUUUUUUUUUUUUACUAAGAGUCUUCCCAUGUCUGCUGCCUCUCAAGUGCUGGGACUAAAAGCUUGUGCCACCAUGCUUCUGGGAACCAUUAGGGUCUAGUUGUUAGCAGAGCAGAAGUCUGUGGAAAUAGUUUAGUAGCACUUACUCCUGUGCACAAAGAAUAGCGUUUAGCUUCCCACCAUGAUGCUAAUAAGUUAAUUCAUAAAAUCGUACAGUUAGACUCAUGGCCGAGGCCAGCUUGAGCAAGGUAGUCAGUUUAUAUAAAAAUUAUUUAAACUAUGCAGCAGCAUCCUUCAAAAAUCACAUAGAAGUUCAUUAGCCUAAAACUCAGCUUCACAGCUGUGCAUGUGAGAACUGCAGCAUCGUCUGAGAAAGUCAUUCUGCAGUUGUCAGCUGUGCAGAGAAGAAAGCAUUUCCUUGAACGGAAAGGGACUGCGUUAUUUCAGGUCUCAUAUUCCACUGAGGCCUUGGUCACUGCCAUGUGUUCUUGGGAGGUUAAUUUUAUGCUCGAGCCAAGAAUCCUUUAAGUCUUGCUUUUGGUUCCCUGGAUUUUAAAAUAGGUUAAAUAAAAAAUAAUAUACUUUAAAAGCUAUUUUUAGUCAGUGUUUAAAAUUUCAGGCUUAAAAGGAAGUGUGCUUUAUAUUGAUCAAAAUGUUACCAAACAAAUCCUGUUAUUGAACCUGAUAAGUAUCAUGGGAUUUAUUCAUUUAGCUGUUGUUAGAAUACCUCAGUUGGUUUGGUCAGAACUUAAAUGUCUUUCCAGCACAUCAUGGUUGAAGUAAGCCAGGCACUGGUGGUGCACACUCCUUAAUCUCAGCACUGAGGAGGCAGAGGCAGGCAGAUCUCUGAGUUCAAGGCCAGCCUUUUCUACAGAGUGAGUUCCAGGAUAGCCAGGACUAUACAGAGAAACCCUGUCUCAAAAAACAAAUAAUAACAACAAAAACAAAAGAAAAACCACUCAGAUUUUGGUUACAUUGUGUGUGUUUAGUUUUGAUGUGCCUCCUGUUAGCCCAUAAAGUCCUGUUGGAGCAGUGUUCUGGAGGCAGCCGCAGGAGGAAAGUCUGAGGCUAUACAGGGAGACUAUCCUUCAAAUAUAAGCAAGAGUAAAAAUUGUUGCUGAAACUCAUUCUUAUGCUGUGGAGAGCAAUGUAGUUAUGUUCAUUCAUUGUAACAAUUUCUAUUUGACUUCUCUAAAUGAAAAAAAAAAAAAGUCCGAAUGAGACCAUUUUUUUGUAAAUGUUAAAAUGAAGGCUCUGCUAUCCCCAGGUUCUUGGAAGCCAGCUCGUACAGUACAUAAAGACAAUUUCCUAAAGUCCUUGGAAGGGAUGCUGGGGAUUGAUGAGAUGUUUGCAGUUGUUCCGGUCACAGUUAUCACUUAACUCCACACGCUGACAUGGAUAGAAGCCCUCAGAGAUGUUCAGAUUCCCUCUUGUCUCUGAGUUCAUUUCCCAGGCUAAUGCUGGUCUUGUAGUUGAUUCUCUUGUGUCGAUCUGACUGAUUGAUCAGCACCAAGCUUCUAGGUGAUGCCAAGGUCAUGAUUUUUUCACAUUUCUGGGGCUCAACAAAAGAAGAAAACCUUAGUAGAAAGCUAAGUAGAAAAGCUAAAAGCUUUUUUGUUACUGGUUGGUUGGUUUGUUCUUUAAGCUGCUUCCUGCCUGUCCUGUAAUUCUCUGAACUCAGAGAUUAGCCUGCCUCUGCCUCCAGAGUGCUGGGACAAAAGGUGUAUACUACCACACGAAGUAGCAGCCGCCGCUGCUGCUGCUGCUGCUGCUUCUCCUUCUCCUCCUUCUCCUCCUCCUCCUUCUCCUUCUACUACUACUACUACUUCUUCUACUACUACUAAUUUCUUCUUCUUUCUUUCUUCUCUGCUGCUGCUGCUACUCCUUUUCCUUCUCCUCUUUCUCCUCCUCUUCUUCUUCCUCCUCCUCCUUCCUUAUCAUCAUUAUUGAAAUGGUCUCACUGUGUAGUCUUGGGUGCCCUGAACUCGUGUGCACAUGUGGCUUCAGACUGACUUGUGAGUGCUGGGAUUAAUGGCAUUUACCACCACACCUGGCAAUAACAAAUCUUACACUGAUUUGCCUAGAUCUAGUUUUGAGAUUUUAAACUAUGGUAAAGGUUGAGGACUUGGUUGCACAGGCCCUGGUUUGCCACCUAGCAACAGAAAACACUGGUAAAAGACUGCAAAUGUCAUUAGUGCUUGGAGUCCCAAGGAAAUGGUAAGAAAAUGAAGUGGAUCAAGAAGUUAAUUUAAGAGGUUGUUCGAAAAUCAAGCCAUGGAGGUCAGGUCACUUUAUGCUAGCUUAGAGGUCAGAAAACAGCUUCAGGAGUUACUGAAGGUAAAAACACUCGAGACUCAGAAAGGGAAUGUUGACUGAUAACAAUAUCAGUUGAGUUGGUUUGAGAUUUGUCUCUGACCCUGAAGUGGCAGGGUAGGGUUAUGUAGAAGCACUCAGAUGACAGGUAAGUCAACAGUAUGUGUGGCCAGUGCAGCCUCACGCUUCCUAGGGACUGACACGGCUGGGGUGUGAGAGCCCCGAUCAUCCUGCCUCUGAUGAUUACAGGCACGUGCCACACUAGACGGUUUGUUCAGCUUAAGCAUUAGGUUGGAAAUAGACAUAAAGUGAAGUAAGUGAUGAAUUUUAUAUUGUGUUGUACCCUAAUUUGAAUUUAAAGUAGGCAGUAGGUAGGGUUAAUUGGUAGACUAUCAUGUACAGCCCUUUGGGUUUAUCCCAACACCAAAAAAAAAAAAAAAGAAAAAAGAAGAAAAAGAAAAUCAGAGUAUCACAUUUUGAUCUGUGAGAAACUCAGUUUGGGGCUGGGAAUGUAGCUCAGUGGUAGAGAGCUUGUCUAAGGUACACAAGCUUGGGCUGGAAUAAGAAACCCAAGGAAAAUGUCGGGCAUGGUGGUGCACGCCUUUAAAAUCCCAGCACUUGGGAGGCAGAGGCACGAGGACCUCUGAGUUCGAGGCCAGCCUGGUCUACAGAGUGAGUUCCAGGACAGCCAGGGCUACACAGAGAAACCCUGUCUCGAAAAACU
Molecule: long non-coding RNA, 3049 nt
Filed under: Mus musculus (house mouse)
Lineage: Eukaryota; Metazoa; Chordata; Mammalia; Rodentia; Muridae
Description: long non-coding RNA chr4:136347285-136350334
Source: RNAcentral